Molecule: long non-coding RNA, 704 nt
Filed under: Cavia porcellus (domestic guinea pig)
Lineage: Eukaryota; Metazoa; Chordata; Mammalia; Rodentia; Caviidae
Description: lncRNA (ENSCPOG00000033268.1)
Source: RNAcentral
GAAAUCCUUUCAAAUCUGGAAUAGAAUGUUUCGAACAAUAUUGAGUUAAAAAGGAAUUUUAUGGGUUACACAGAUAGAUAGAGGCUGGCUUUCACUAUGAUUUGUGGUCUGAAGCAUAGCUACUGACUGCAAUGUGUUUGUGAUUGAAUAGGGCUUUUUUUGUAUUUUCUUUUCAAAGCAGAAUAUUAUAAUACAUAUCUAUUUUUUUUCUCACACACAUAUCUAAAUACUUUCUUCAGAAAAUGAGGGCAAAAUAGAAGACUAUCUUCCCUUUACGCUCUGGGUCAUUUCCUGAAGAGUUUUGAAUUCAGCACGAAAGGCAGGACUUUCACAGAGGUGGAAUGUAGCACAUGUGGAAAAGGUUGGACCAACGACCUUUAAUUCUUUGACCAAGAAGGUGUGAGAGGCUGGUUUUCCUGGGUGGUCUGAGAAUUGCCUCAGGAGAGAGCACUGAUGCAGUCUAAUCCGGAUGUUACAAAGCACGAAUAAACCAAGAGAACAUUUUCACACUCAAAGGCAGCUACGCCUCCCCGUCCUGAAGAUCAAGUGGUGACUAUUUGGGCAUUGAACAACAUAUCCAUGGAGUCCAGUCACACAUUUCUCAACACCAUUAUUCAGACAGAAAAGGAAUGAAAGCCAGAGCCUAUAAAAGUAAUUCUUGAAUGGCUUGAGGAGUGUAUAAAAUGUGCUCUAUAAUUUCCAAC